Long non-coding RNA from Daphnia magna, 969 nucleotides. RefSeq lists it as uncharacterized. Lineage: Eukaryota; Metazoa; Arthropoda; Branchiopoda; Diplostraca; Daphniidae. The record is from RefSeq and is a predicted model, not a curated record. The transcript is spliced from 2 exons.
ACUCGGAAAGCGACACAGAGGACGAACAUACCGAAGAAGAACAUGAACCGACAAAAUCCGCUCAAAAUCCGAACAAACCCGGGGACAAUGGGAACGAAAACAGGGAAAACCCGGACGACCAACCCGUCCGACCCACGCCACGACCCGAUGGAACCGUAACCCAAGCCGGAAGACAAACUUACCCACCUCCUUGGCGACUACAAAAUUUAAAUUAAUUUAUAAAAGUAUUUAUUGCAUUUAAGGGCCUUAAUUUAUGAAAUGUACGUACAAUUAAAUUGAUCCGUCAAGGCAGGAGCCUUGAAAUUGCAGGAUGGCCGAGUGUUAUGAAAUGUCAAAAUCUAUUCAUGUAAUUGUUAAGUUGACCGCUAGAAUGCGCGGGCAUGUACUUUGUAAGAAUAUUGUUCCCUACCUUGACCUGAUUGCCCCGCCCUUGACCAACCCUGCCCUCUUGAACGAUAAAAGGCCCCCCCUGCAGUUUUGGCGUUGCUGUUGGAGAACCGUUUGAGCUAGAGAAGAAAACAGCGCGAAAAACAGUCAUAAGCGACUACUUUCCCCAUUGUUGACAACGUUAUGGAGGGAAUGUUAUGACUGAUCCGGGUAGUCAGCGCCCCUAGCGAGUGCCCCAAAAUUUGUCCGCGGAAAUAGCAGACGAACAGCCCAAAACAGGCCUAGCAGACGACAGUUCUGGGACCUCUAAUGUUAGACCAUGGCGAGACGGUCUCGAAGGGUUGAGACCGUCACCGCUACAUCCCAGUGGGACUAUCCCGGCCCUCUGAUUGGCUCUCUCAACCCUUACACCCUUCCAUGUAUUUCUGCUUUCUACUCCCACAUUUUCCUGAUACACACAGCGUGGUUUUCCGUGGGAGUGGAGUUCGGGCUUUGAUUUGUUUGUUUCUUUGUGUAUUUAUAUUAUUUACAUUUAUUGUUUGCUGUUUGUUAAGUUUUACAAAUACAACAUUUUUACUUAUA